Acipenser ruthenus (sterlet) is the source of this 2652-nucleotide long non-coding RNA. RefSeq lists it as uncharacterized. The record is from RefSeq and is a predicted model, not a curated record. NCBI's taxonomy places the organism in Eukaryota, Metazoa, Chordata, Actinopteri, Acipenseriformes, Acipenseridae. The transcript is spliced from 3 exons.
CGACACUGAUUUGGAAGAUGAUGUCGUUAUGGAGAUAUCUGAAGAGAAUCAACUAUCUAUGUCAUGACAUGACAACACAUCCCAUGUUCAAAAUUAUUACAACAAGCACCAUGCUUCUUGUAGUGGACUGUACAGAGACUAUGUGGACCUUGUCAGUGAAGACAAUGUAUUUAGUGGUUCUGAAGAAGAGCAGCUGAAUAGAGCUCUAGAGGAAUCGCUAAAGGAAAGCUUGCAUGCAGCUGUUCAUGUGGAAGAUAUCCUACAAUCUCUGAGAGUUGGAAUCAAUGAAGAAGUCAUUCGCUUCAACUUAAACAGAAGAAAUGAGUGGGAUGGUGCUGUAAGAGCCAUGAGGAGGCCAAACUUUUCAACCAACAAAAGAGUUGAUGUGAAAUUCACAGAUGAUGCUGGUGUUUCGGAAGGAGCAGUGGAUUUGGGAGGGCCAAUGAGGGAGUUUUUCAGACUAGUGGUGCAACAUCUAAGAAACAGCCCUAUGUUUGAUGGCCCAGAAAAUCAACGUACUCUCUCAUGCCAUGUAGAGUGUAAGUGUGUAAAUCAAUUUCAUUUUAUGUGCUGAAAACUGAAUUAUAAAAAUCCAGUAGUAGAUAUGGUGUGCCAAAUGUUCACAGUAUGUAUUUUUCAUAAGAGAACAGAAGGACGUGUGGUGACAUUAGAUACAAUUGUUUCUCUGGAGCCGCGCAUGAUGCAAAGCAAAUGUAAUUAACCAGCACUAUUUCUGAAAAUUAAAGCUUUUUUCAGAAGCUGCUUUGGUAGAAUGUUGUUUGCAUGACAGAAACAAAUAUAUUAUACAUAACAAAUGAAAUUACAUGAUCAUGCUGUUAUUAACUACCAUUUCCAUUGAAAUCACGUGCAUUAUGUUACCCCAUAGCCAACUAUAACAUGCAAUCCUUCAAAAUACAUUUGCUUCAUAAGUAAUAUUGAUUUUUUUUCUUUCUGGUAGCUUUGAAAAACAACAGCUAUUUCUAUGCAGGACAGUUGAUUGCUAUGAGCAUCGUACAUGGAGGACCAUCUCCACAUUUCUUUGCCCCAGUGUUGUUCCAGGCAGUAGCGUUAGGUCCAGACAACGUGCAUGCGGCAAUCGAGGAUAUAACAGACCCUGAUAUUAAAUGUCAGCUGUCAGAUGUAGGAGUUUAGCAUAUGUAGACAAAUCCCGCAGAGGGACUCACCGUGCUAUUCUACUGAAAUAUUUCCAUACUUGGAAAGUAUGUUUUUGACAGUACAGGCCCAAUGUUGCAUUGAACACAUUAAGUGUAAUUUAGGAUUAUUAUUAUUAUUAUUUAUUAUUAUUAUUAUUAUUAUUGCAGACAUUUAGCAGACGACUUUUUCCAAGGUUUAUCAAGCAGCAAAAUACAAUCUACUAUAAAACAUUACAAUGUAACAACUUCACUGUAAUAAAUUAGCCACAGACAACAGUGCACAUUAAAAAAUAGAGAGUAAAUACAUACAUAAAAUAAAGCAUGAAAAAUAUGAAAGCAGAUUACAAAAGUGUGUGGGGGGAAAAAAUCCUUUAUGUCUAUGUACACAUACCUAAUCUGAUUAGUUAAAAAAAAGUCAGUGUGUGUGUGUGUGUGUGUACAAUGUACACUUGUCAAGCUAAUAUAACAAUGUUGUGUUCAGUGCUAAUUCUACUCUUUAGUGUGAACAGAAUUUAGUAUGUGGAAUAUUGAAACCAGUGAAGUUGAUUUUAAAAAGCAAUUCAAGAAAAUUGAAACCUGUAGAAGGAUUCAAUAUGAUUGUUUGGUGUGUUUUAACAAUGUUUCAGAAAUGUCUUUAUAUUGGAACAGAGGGGUCAGGUUAAUCCGAGUCAUUUCAAAGGGCUGCUGAGCUGUUCAGAUUUUAAAAAGAAAUGUGUUUUGCUGGAACCAGCAGUUCUAUUGAAUGACCACAAGAUGGCAGCAUGAGGCCAUUUUUUAAGCACAGCGGUGUCUGAAAUGCUGUCCAUGUUUAGGAAUGUAGGAGGAGCGGGCGCUGCUAUUUCUCCACUCCGCGUCGCGUGUACCGUUUUUUUCUCCUUUUAUUUCUGUAUUUUCUCAUUUGAUCUUUUCUAAAACUACAAGUCAUUCAAGGUGUGCCCUUUUAUUUUAUUAUUUUUUAUAUUAAUAGGUGAUUUUGUGUUUGCUGUAAUAAGAACAUAAGAAAGUUUACAAACGAGAGGAGGCCAUUCAGCCCAUCUUGUUCGUUUGGUUGUUAGUAGCUUAUUGAUCCCAGAAUCUCAUCAAGCAGCUUCUUGAAGGAUCCCAGGGUGUCAGCUUCAACAACAUUACUGGGGAGUUGGUUCCAGACCCUCACAAUUCUCUGUGUGAUGUUGUACUGGUCUCUCCCACAUGUUUUAUUUCGUUGCAGUAAAAUAUGACCUCAUUGACUGGCAUUAUAUCGAGAGGGAAGAAAAAGGGGGCAGGUGUGCGCACACAAAGAAAGAAGACAGCAUUUUCCCCACCAGCUCUUUGAAAAAGCAACUAGCUGUUUUGUGAGAGUUCUAUCCUGUGUAUUAACUUUGGAGUUGUAUAUACAGAAAAGUCAGAAGUACCUUAAAAAAAACUAUAGUCAACCUUGUGAUUAAUAAUAAUAAUAAUAAUAAUAAUAAUUUAAUGUAUUAUCGCAAAUCCAUUACCUCUUCAUCCCUCAACACAAGGA